This 1576-nucleotide ribosomal RNA is filed under the name Limosilactobacillus fermentum. RNAcentral's name for it is "bacterial SSU rRNA". It matches the Rfam family "Bacterial small subunit ribosomal RNA". Lineage: Bacteria; Bacillati; Bacillota; Bacilli; Lactobacillales; Lactobacillaceae. The record is from RNAcentral.
UUAUAUGAGAGUUUGAUCCUGGCUCAGGAUGAACGCCGGCGGUGUGCCUAAUACAUGCAAGUCGAACGCGUUGGCCCAAUUGAUUGAUGGUGCUUGCACCUGAUUGAUUUUGGUUGCCAGCGAGUGGCGGACGGGUGAGUAACACGUAGGUAACCUGCCCAGAAGCGGGGGACAACAUUUGGAAACAGAUGCUAAUACCGCAUAACAGCGUUGUUCGCAUGAACAACGCUUAAAAGAUGGCUUCUCGCUAUCACUUCUGGAUGGACCUGCGGUGCAUUAGCUUGUUGGUGGGGUAACGGCCUACCAAGGCGAUGAUGCAUAGCCGAGUUGAGAGACUGAUCGGCCACAAUGGGACUGAGACACGGCCCAUACUCCUACGGGAGGCAGCAGUAGGGAAUCUUCCACAAUGGGCGCAAGCCUGAUGGAGCAACACCGCGUGAGUGAAGAAGGGUUUCGGCUCGUAAAGCUCUGUUGUUAAAGAAGAACACGUAUGAGAGUAACUGUUCAUACGUUGACGGUAUUUAACCAGAAAGUCACGGCUAACUACGUGCCAGCAGCCGCGGUAAUACGUAGGUGGCAAGCGUUAUCCGGAUUUAUUGGGCGUAAAGAGAGUGCAGGCGGUUUUCUAAGUCUGAUGUGAAAGCCUUCGGCUUAACCGGAGAAGUGCAUCGGAAACUGGAUAACUUGAGUGCAGAAGAGGGUAGUGGAACUCCAUGUGUAGCGGUGGAAUGCGUAGAUAUAUGGAAGAACACCAGUGGCGAAGGCGGCUACCUGGUCUGCAACUGACGCUGAGACUCGAAAGCAUGGGUAGCGAACAGGAUUAGAUACCCUGGUAGUCCAUGCCGUAAACGAUGAGUGCUAGGUGUUGGAGGGUUUCCGCCCUUCAGUGCCGGAGCUAACGCAUUAAGCACUCCGCCUGGGGAGUACGACCGCAAGGUUGAAACUCAAAGGAAUUGACGGGGGCCCGCACAAGCGGUGGAGCAUGUGGUUUAAUUCGAAGCUACGCGAAGAACCUUACCAGGUCUUGACAUCUUGCGCCAACCCUAGAGAUAGGGCGUUUCCUUCGGGAACGCAAUGACAGGUGGUGCAUGGUCGUCGUCAGCUCGUGUCGUGAGAUGUUGGGUUAAGUCCCGCAACGAGCGCAACCCUUGUUACUAGUUGCCAGCAUUAAGUUGGGCACUCUAGUGAGACUGCCGGUGACAAACCGGAGGAAGGUGGGGACGACGUCAGAUCAUCAUGCCCCUUAUGACCUGGGCUACACACGUGCUACAAUGGACGGUACAACGAGUCGCGAACUCGCGAGGGCAAGCAAAUCUCUUAAAACCGUUCUCAGUUCGGACUGCAGGCUGCAACUCGCCUGCACGAAGUCGGAAUCGCUAGUAAUCGCGGAUCAGCAUGCCGCGGUGAAUACGUUCCCGGGCCUUGUACACACCGCCCGUCACACCAUGAGAGUUUGUAACACCCAAAGUCGGUGGGGUAACCUUUUAGGAGCCAGCCGCCUAAGGUGGGACAGAUGAUUAGGGUGAAGUCGUAACAAGGUAGCCGUAGGAGAACCUGCGGCUGGAUCACCUCCUUU